This 306-nucleotide ribosomal RNA is filed under the name uncultured bacterium. RNAcentral's name for it is "bacterial SSU rRNA". It matches the Rfam family "Bacterial small subunit ribosomal RNA", at positions 28 to 333 of the family's 1533-position model. The record is from RNAcentral.
GAUGAACGCUAGCGGCAGGCCUAAUACAUGCAAGUCGAACGGCCCCGACACUUCGGUGUCGGGGUAGUGGCGCACGGGUGCGUAACGCGUACACAACGUGCCCAAGGGCGGAGGAAAGCGGCGGGAAACUGCCGGUAAUACUCCAUGGUGUUGUUGAGUGGCAUCACUUAACAACUAAAGUACAAGCGCCCUUGGAUCGGUGUGCGUUCGAUUAGCUAGUUGGCGGGGUAACGGCCCACCAAGGCUUCGAUCGAUAGGGGGUGUGAGAGCAUGACCCCCCCACACGGGUACGUGAGACACGGACCC